This 484-nucleotide ribosomal RNA is filed under the name uncultured bacterium. RNAcentral's name for it is "partial 16S ribosomal RNA". It matches the Rfam family "Bacterial small subunit ribosomal RNA", at positions 30 to 507 of the family's 1533-position model. The record is from RNAcentral.
AUUGAACGCUGGCGGCAGGCCUAACGCAUGCAAGUCGAGCGGAUGAAGGGAGCUUGCUCCUGGAUUCAGCGGCGGACGGGUGAGUAAUGCCUAGGAAUCUGCCUGGUAGUGGGGGAUAACGUCCGGAAACGGGCGCUAAUACCGCAUACGUCCUGAGGGAGAAAGUGGGGGAUCUUCGGACCUCACGCUAUCAGAUGAGCCUAGGUCGGAUUAGCUAGUUGGUGGGGUAAAGGCCUACCAAGGCGACGAUCCGUAACUGGUCUGAGAGGAUGAUCAGUCACACUGGAACUGAGACACGGUCCAGACUCCUACGGGAGGCAGCAGUGGGGAAUAUUGGACAAUGGGCGAAAGCCUGAUCCAGCCAUGCCGCGUGUGUGAAGAAGGUCUUCGGAUUGUAAAGCACUUUAAGUUGGGAGGAAGGGCGGUAAGUUAAUACCUUGCUGUUUUGACGUUACCAACAGAAUAAGCACCGGCUAACUUCGUG